This 403-nucleotide ribosomal RNA is filed under the name uncultured bacterium. Its description in RNAcentral is "bacterial SSU rRNA". It matches the Rfam family "Bacterial small subunit ribosomal RNA", at positions 355 to 774 of the family's 1533-position model. The record is from RNAcentral.
UCGGGAAUAUUGCGCAAUGGAGGAAACUCUGACGCAGUGACGCCGCGUAUAGGAAGAAGGUUUUCGGAUUGUAAACUAUUGUCGUUAGGGAAGAAAAAGGACAGUACCUAAGGAGGAAGCUCCGGCUAACUACGUGCCAGCAGCCGCGGUAAUACGUAGGGAGCGAGCGUUAUCCGGAUUUAUUGGGUGUAAAGGGUGCGUAGACGGGCAUACAAGUUAGUUGUGAAAUCCCUCGGCUUAACUGAGGAACUGCAACUAAAACUGUAAGUCUUGAGUGCAGGAGAGGUAAGUGGAAUUCCUAGUGUAGCGGUGAAAUGCGUAGAUAUUAGGAGGAACACCAGUGGCGAAGGCGACUUACUGGACUGUAACUGACGUUGAGGCACGAAAGUGUGGGGAGCAAACA